GCCGGGCAUGUUAGCACAUGCCUGUAAUCUCAGCUACUUGGGAGGCUGAGGCAGAAGAAUCACUUGAACCUGGGAGGCGGAGGGUGUAGUGAGCCGAAAUUGUGCCACUGCACUCAAGCCUGGGUGACAGAGUGAGACUCUGUCUCAA
Callithrix jacchus (white-tufted-ear marmoset) is the source of this 148-nucleotide unclassified non-coding RNA. It matches the Rfam family "Metazoan signal recognition particle RNA". Rfam says of the family: The signal recognition particle (SRP) is a universally conserved ribonucleoprotein. The record is from Ensembl. NCBI's taxonomy places the organism in Eukaryota, Metazoa, Chordata, Mammalia, Primates, Cebidae.